GACGAACGCUGGCGGCGUGCUUAACACAUGCAAGUCGAACGGAAAGGCCCUGCUUUUGUGGGGUGCUCGAGUGGCGAACGGGUGAGUAACACGUGAGUAACCUGCCCUUGACUUUGGGAUAACUUCAGGAAACUGGGGCUAAUACCGUAUAGGAUCUCCUGCUGCAUGGUGGGGGUUGGAACGUUUCGGCGGUUGGGGAUGGACUCGCGGCUUAUGAGCUUGUUGGUGGGGUAGUGGCUUACCAAGGCUUUGACGGGUAGCCGGCCCGAGAGGGUGAACGGCGACAUGGGUACUGCGAGACGGACCAGACGGCUACGGGAGGCAGCAGGGGGGAAUAUUGUACAGCGGGCGGACGCCGGAGGCAGCAACGUCGCGUGUGGGAUGACGGUCUUUGGGGUGAAAAACGCUGUAGCCUGUGACGAAGCGGUAGUGACGGUAAUGGGUAAAGAAGCACCGGCUAACUACGUG
RNAcentral lists this ribosomal RNA (468 nucleotides) under uncultured bacterium. RNAcentral describes it as "partial 16S ribosomal RNA". It matches the Rfam family "Bacterial small subunit ribosomal RNA", at positions 28 to 507 of the family's 1533-position model. The record is from RNAcentral.